Molecule: non-coding RNA, 30 nt
Filed under: Rattus norvegicus (Norway rat)
Lineage: Eukaryota; Metazoa; Chordata; Mammalia; Rodentia; Muridae
Source: RNAcentral
GAGCUGUGAAAUGUUUUGUAAGUGCCAUGU